Long non-coding RNA from Lutra lutra (Eurasian river otter), 531 nucleotides. RefSeq lists it as uncharacterized. The transcript has 4 exons. The record is from RefSeq and is a predicted model, not a curated record. NCBI's taxonomy places the organism in Eukaryota, Metazoa, Chordata, Mammalia, Carnivora, Mustelidae.
UUAUCUGAUGAAAACAACUGUACCUCACAGACAACAAGUGGAAGAAAUGCAAGAUCAGCUGCAGGAGGCCAAGCUCAUCUUCAAUCACCAGAUCGCAGUUCAGGAGAGAAAUGCUCUGGCUAACUGGGACAGUACAGAUGUGAGAGAGUUUCCUCAUUGGCCAGGGCCCCUCUGUAUGCCCUAACACAUGGGGCAGAAUUUACCAGGCUUCCCUCCUCCUCCUCCACCUCCACACUGGUGGACACGGGGGCCUCAGCCACACCUCGUUCCUCCACCACAUGGUCUUCCUUCCCAUUCAGAAGCCUGUGGAGCUCAAGGGGACAAUAGCAGCACUGUGCCCAAGAAGGUCUCAGAGAAGAACCAAGUAAAUACAGGGGCUGUUUUCAGUUGUACCCAUUUCUGGAGUCCUGUUCCUCUCUGGGCAGCAGCAUCUUCUCACCUUGUGUCUAUUGGCAUUUUGAAAGGUAAACACCAUUACACACAGAUCCUACGAUAUACCCAAUCCUUCAUGUGGAGCUUAUAGGCUUUUCU